AAUCUACCCCCAAAGAACAUUCUGGAACCACACCAGAAAAGAACAUGUGUCUUGCAGUGCUGGAUAUGCUAGGCAGUAGGUAAACAGUGGGAGUGUAUGGAAAGAGACACAGAGCAGGAACACAGGCUGGGAGUACACAGGUGCUGAUAACGAGGGGCUAACUGAGACUACAGAGAAACACAUGGGUGCAGAGGGUGAAGGAAGAUUAAAUGCUGGAAGCAAAGCAUGGGGAUCACUGGGAUAGGAAACCGAUGACGGGACACAAGGUGACAGAUAUCGGGCAGUUGGCUGAUUGAAUAACGAUGGAACGUCAAUGGACACCUUCAGAAUGUCCUGUCUUGGUGAGUGGGAGAGAGUUGCAGACAUUCAGUCAGCCUAUUGUGGUGACUGGCAUGAGGAGGCAGUGACGCCACUCUGGAUAUACAUAAAUGAUGGAGCUGGCCGUUAAUGCUGCUUAAUGAGCAAGAAUCAGACCCUUCUUCUUCCAAUGAGCAGUGAGUGAUUCAUCACACGUUUAAGCCUGAGACUGCAGAAAUAAACCUUUAAUAUUAAUUUUUUUCUGCUCGGUUAACAUUGAACAAAACCUAUUUAUUUGUUCUCUACUGAAUGCCAUAGAAAAGUCAUAUGUAUUACAAAAGUUAUAUGCAACUUGUUUCAUUAAAGACAUGCAAGAAUAUGUCAGCCAAGUGUGCAUGUUUAUGCAAUGAUAAAGCCCCCUGGUGCUCGUCUUACCUGGGGGAAUUACUAGCGAUUGGCUGUGAAAGUUCAUCCUGCACAAUCUUUUCUUUCCCCUGAUAUCAGCCAGGCAACAUCUGCAAUAGUCUCACGCAUACAAGCCAUGCCACCUGUACUGUGUGUACAUACAGUGUAGGUGGAUAUGUUCAAGCAGAACUCCAGGCAGAAAUGAGAUAAAAAUGAAUAGCCAAGUUAAAUCAUAAAAUAAAACCAGCUUUUGUUGCAAUAACUUUUAUUCCAGAUAUUUCCUCCACAGUACUUUUUUCUGCCACUAGAUGUCCCCAGUCUGUUGGCUAGCAUCAUUCAGCCCACUUCCUCUGGACCCACCCAAGCCUCUUACUGGACAGUGAAAAGAGAAGCAGCACAGUGAUCAACUCAUCCCUCUGCUCUCUCCUAUUGGGGUACUUCUUGUCAGCACAUGAACUCAUUGUUUCUACUGUGUUCCCUUUCAAACUAGUAGAUU
Molecule: long non-coding RNA, 1198 nt
Organism: Rana temporaria (common frog)
Lineage: Eukaryota; Metazoa; Chordata; Amphibia; Anura; Ranidae
Exons: 3
Source: RefSeq, a predicted model, not a curated record